This is a long non-coding RNA of Pan troglodytes (chimpanzee), 355 nucleotides long. RefSeq lists it as uncharacterized. The transcript has 2 exons. The record is from RefSeq and is a predicted model, not a curated record. Lineage: Eukaryota; Metazoa; Chordata; Mammalia; Primates; Hominidae.
CUCACAGUCACCAGGGAGAUGGAGCCAGACCCCAGGAACCCACAACGGAUGGUGAAGGACGAGAGCUUGGUGGCCUCCAUCCGAACUUGCACCCACACCUCCGGGGUCCCUGUGGAACAGCAGCAAGGAUCUCAGUAUUUCAUCCUAUCCGGAGGGAAGGCUCUAAAGAGCUCAAGGAAGACCUCACGAUGUCUAUGUGUGAGAAGAAACCUUUCACCCCUUCACUAUCACACCCCAUCAUCCAAGCACACACUCCUCUUUCAUCCCAUAAACCCCGGUCAGUGUCACCUGGAGUUAUAAGGAUGGGGUGACUUACCUAGUAACUGAAGACGCUCAGUAAUCUGAAAAAGAAAAA